This 496-nucleotide ribosomal RNA is filed under the name uncultured bacterium. RNAcentral describes it as "partial 16S ribosomal RNA". It matches the Rfam family "Bacterial small subunit ribosomal RNA", at positions 29 to 507 of the family's 1533-position model. The record is from RNAcentral.
AUGAACGCUGGCGGCGUGCCUAAUACAUGCAAGUCGAGCGAACAGACGAGGAGCUUGCUCCUCUGACGUUAGCGGCGGACGGGGAAGUAACCCGUGGAUAACCUACCUAUAAGACUGGGAUAACUUCGGGAAACCGGAGCUAAUACCGGAAAAUAUAUUGAACCGCAUGGUUCAAUAGUGAAAGACGGUUUUGCUGUCACUUAUAGAUGGAUCCGCGCCGCAUUAGCUAGUUGGUAAGGUAACGGCUUACCAAGGCAACGAUGCGUAGCCGACCUGAGAGGGUGAUCGGCCACCCUGGAACUGAGACGCGGUCCAGACUCCUACGGGAGGCAGCAGUAGGGAAUCUUCCGCAAUGGGCGAAAGCCUGACGGAGCAACGCCGCGUGAGUGAUGAAGGUCUUCGGAGCGUAAAACUCUGUUAUUAGGGAAGAACAAAUGUGUAAGUAACUAUGCACGUCUUGACGGUACCUAAUCAGAAAGCCACGGCUAACUACGUG